RNAcentral lists this ribosomal RNA (370 nucleotides) under uncultured alga. RNAcentral's name for it is "partial 23S ribosomal RNA". It matches the Rfam family "Bacterial large subunit ribosomal RNA", at positions 2098 to 2465 of the family's 2925-position model. The record is from RNAcentral.
GCUUGACUGUAGCUUGUAAUUGGGUUCGGGCUUUUUUUGCGCAGCCUAGGUGGGAGGCAAUCGAUGAUUUUUUUCCGGAAAAAUUUGAGCCGUUCGUGAGAGACCACUCUGAAAAGGCUAGAAUCCUAAUAAUGAUCCUUGAAUCAGGACAUUUGACAGUUGCAGGUGGGCAGUUUUACUGGGGCGGUAUUCUCCUAAAAAGUAACGGAGGGGUGCAAAGGUUCCCUCAAGCUGGACGGAAAUCAGCUUAAGAGUGUAAAGGCAAAAGGGAGCUUGACUGCAAGACCUACAAGUCGAGCAGGGGCGAAAGCCGGCCUUAGUGAUCCGACGGUACCACGUGGAAGGGCCGUCGCUCAACGGAUAAAAGUUA